Alligator mississippiensis (American alligator) is the source of this 6986-nucleotide long non-coding RNA. RefSeq lists it as uncharacterized. The transcript has 8 exons. The record is from RefSeq and is a predicted model, not a curated record. Lineage: Eukaryota; Metazoa; Chordata; Crocodylia; Alligatoridae.
CAUUCAGAUACAAGCUUCUCCUGCCCCCACUGUGGAACAACUGCCCAGCUGAGGAGUUUCAAGCAGAACCAGAGGAUGGCAACAAUGGCAGAAAUAGCCAGCUUCCAGUCAGCCAAAGUACCGGGGCUAGGCAGCAUGUGUGAGAAACACCUUCAGCCCCUGGGAUCCUUCUGCAAAGGGGAUAAAAAUCUAAUUUGCUAGACUUGCACAGUGUCCCUGCCUCACCAAGCACAUACUGUGGUCUCCAUGGAGGAGGCUGCCUUGGAUUACAAGAAGUGCUCCAGAGCGUGCCGGGUGGUGUGUUGCUUUCAUAACCAGGAAGAGGAGCUUGCUAAGACUUGAAAUGGGUUGGUGCCUGUCUCCACAGCAAAAUGCAGGUGUGAUAUACAGCACAGAAACAGACAGAAAAUCAGAGGCAGAAGAUUGUAUCUGCGUUUCUUCAAGAACGCCAAGUAGUACGUGAAAAGGAAAGACUCCUGCUCUCCCAGCUAAAAAAGAUAGACAAUGACAUUUUAAAUAGACAUAAGAAAUAUACUGCUAAACUCUCUGAGGACAUGUCCCAUAUCAAUAAGCUGAUCUGUGAGAUGGAGGAGAAAUGUGAGCAGCCACCAAGUGAAUUCCUGCAGGACAUCGAAAGCACAUUGAACAAAUGUGUGGCUUCUUACUCCUAAUCAUCCUCCACAGUCCUGGAAGGGAUUUGGGAAAUUGGGACCGAAUUAACAAAGGACAUUGGUACCACCUGGAAAGAAUACUUGGCUCCUCCUGCCUCUUCCUCAGCCUCCAAAAUUUUGGAAGGGGUUUGGGCAGUAGGGAGCAGCUUUGUGCAGAACGGCAGGAGCACCUGGAGUGGGUAAGUGACCUUUUUUUGUUCUUUCCCAGGAGAAUACUUCAAAAUUCCAGGAUCUAAAAUGAAAAGGUGUUUAUAUUUUCUAAGUACUAUAUUUCCUCGUGUACCACACACUGCUUUUCUCAAAAAAUCAGCCCUCCAAUAUUGGGAUGCAUGUCUUAAGCAGGAAAGCUCAUUUCCAUGCUGGAAAGAAAGCUGAGGGUUCUGUAACGGUUGCUGUAAGCUCUGCUUCCCUCUUGGCUAUGAGGGAGGGCAUGAGUGCACUCUGCAGCAGUAGAGCUGCUGUUUUAAUUGUUCCACAGUCACUGCCAAAUUGGCAUCAGUUCUUGACUUAGCAGCCAGGCUGAAGAUUGUAUAUUGCUCUUACAGUCACCAGUCAGAUAUGUCUCUGGAAAAAAAAUCUUUUGCUUUUUUCUAUCUUCCCACAGCAAGGUGUGUGUCCUAUUUGGGUAUGCGCAGUGUGCGAGAGAAAACAGCAAGUUCCAGAAAGUUGCUUUAAAACUUUUUUUUUUUUAAAUAGAAAUAUUUUCUUUUCUCACCCUCCUCCCCCCCACUUUAUUACCAAUGAACGUAGUAAAUUGAAUAAAGUGUAUUUUUCUUAUUUUGGUAAAGAAAUAAAGAAAUGGUAUCCACCAUUUUACACGUUUCCCAUUCACCUCAGACAUGAUGAGGUCAGUGGUCACAGAGAAGCAUACACUUGGAACAGUUUCAGAAAGAGAAGGGGAUUUCCAUGCUGGAAAUCUAGGCUGCUCAAAAGCACACAACAGCUGUUACACUGUGCCAGUUGUGUCUGCAUGAGCAAGUAGCGGUACAACUGAGCUAAAUCACCCACUCGCGAUGGGUAGAGGGUGCAAGCAGGUGCAUGUGCACCCCCUGAGCGUGGCGGUGCACCCCUGCCCAGCGAGAGGCGCUGCUGGUGGCAUCUGCGGGUGGUCGCUGACCACCCAUCAUCGCUCACCACUGCCCCCCUGACAGCACUGCUGCCACCACCUGCGGGACCUCAUCAUGAAAUCACCCCAACUUGAAGUCUAAAUGAAGCAGGGUUAAAGUUGGAGCAGUUUUGCUCUUUCUUUGUAAUGCUAGGGGAUCUUGCCUAUAUAACUGUUACAGCAUAACAGUUAUUAUUGUGAGUGGAACAGCUUCUCCUCCUCCUCCCCUUUUGAAACUGCUCCUUUGUCUGUACCCAGGAUUUGCUCUGUUCAGAUCCAGUGUCAUGUUCAGUGGGAAGGGAGUGGCAACCCGAGGUGUUAGGGGCACAGCCCAGUCUCUAGGAAAGGUUUGAUAGCAGCAGUGACAAACUCCUUCAGCCACAGAGCAGCUCAGGGAGCCUCCUUCCUCCAGCUCUGUGUUUUCAAGGUAGUGAGAGGGAAAGUCCCUUUUCUGGAAACAGAGAUGGGUCAGUGGCAGACAGAAUAGAUGAGCUAGGCCAGGGUGGAGUGCACAAACACACAAUGGGAGAGAUUUUAUUUCCCUUUGGUUAUCUAAAUCAGCAUUUCUCAGUCCGUGGGUGGCAACUCAAAAGUGGGUCGCAAGAAAAUAUGAAAUGGUUAUGAACAAACUUUAAAAAUGGACUCUCCUUUACAGGAGAAAAGUAUGGGAAACUGGCAUUUCUCUGGCAGGCUGGUGAGUUCCAGCCUGUGAAGGGCUGCUUGGGUUCCCCCUGCCCCACACACCCAACCCCUGGUGGGCCUGGUGGGUCAAGAGUCAGGGGCACUGGGUCAGGACUGGCCAAAUGGGUCCUGGUGUUGGUGAUGCAUAGGGGGUACACAGGGGUGCACAUGCACCUCCUCAGAUCAGCUGUGCACCCCCUGAAAGAGCCAGCUGCGAAACUAGAAGUGCCACCGGCUCAGUGAUGGGCCACUAGGGGACCCCCCGGUCAGCUAUUGGCCACUGGGGGACCCCAAGUCCCCCCCCCCCCCACAUUUGCGAUUUGGUGCCCCUGCAGACUCGGGAGGCACCAAUCGUUCAUGGGUCCUGGUACAAAAAGGAUGAGAACCACUGAUCUAAAUGGCAUCUUUUUAGGUGUGUAAGUGGUGGUUUUGGCCCUUUUGUGUAGGUAGGGAUUCUGUUUCCUGUGUAGUCCUGCAUGUGUAGAUACUUUGCCUGUGCUGCAGCACAGCUGGGUGGCAGGGAGAAAUGGGUGGUGGUAGCAGCUGCAGCUGACCUGCCUUGGACCAGACCUGGGCUAUUUCAGCACACUGCCAGAAAACAUUGCUCUUUCUCUGAACAGAAAACAUUGCUUUGAACAGAAAACAUUGCUGAAUACUCUUGCGGGCAACUACAUUGUAUGCUCCUAUUCCUCAGCUGAUAAAACUUCACAUUAAUAUAAGCCAGGCCGUUGUAAUCUCUAUUAUGACAGGCACUCCAUUCCCCUGAUCCUAGUAGUUUGCUGAACCUAUUCAAGUUCAAACAAAUCUUUCUUGGGCUUGGCCAUGGAUGACCUAAAUUGUACACAGUUUUAUACAUAGCUCCAGAUAAAGCUUUACCAAUUUCUUGGCAUUAGUACUUCCCAAAUACUGGAAAUAACUCACCUCAUAUAUCAUAUAGGUACUUUUUAAACCUUUUCCGCACAGCCAGGGAAAACAAACAAAUCACAGAAUCAUAGAAAAUUAGGGUUGGAAAGGACCUCGGGAGGUCAUCUAGUCCAACCCCCUGCUCAAAGCAGGACCAACCCCAACUAGAUUAUUCUAGCCAGGGCUUUGUCAAUCCAGGCCUUAAAAACCAAACAAAACUAAAUCCAAACCAAAGGUUACCACAAAAGGCAGCUGCUCAUUAGGAAAAGUCAGAAACCAUAAUUAUAUUUGGCUAUGGGACAGGGAACUCCCUGCCCUCAAUGUUUAUCAUAUUUACCAACAAGAACAGACUUACUGUGCCCCCUGAAGUGUUGGCAUAUUUUAAAUGAAGAAUCAAGCAAAGGUAAAUUAUGUGGGUCUUUUUCCUUAGAGAUAAAAAAGGACUUUUGAGAAUCCAGAGACUCUGUCUCCUGAAUUGAAACGGGGCAACUGGGAUUUCUCUGAACAGAGCAAAAUUCUACAUAACAUUUGAAGAACGUCAGAGGUAAAAAACCAACGGUUUCACUUUUUAGGGAAUCAUAAGCAAAGCUGAAGAUAGAGGCAGAUGAAUCCUCAUAUGUGACUUCACCAAGAGGUCUACCCCAACUUGGUAUUUAAGUUACUGUUGGUUAUGAUCUGGUAUUUUUUCCUCCACGAAUUACAGCAGAAUAUGGAGAAUUAAAUCAUAGGAAUACUGGGCGACUACACAUCUACACAGGUGCUUUACUGUGCAGCAGACUAAUUUAUAGCAUCACCAUCUACACAUGCGCCAUUAUUAGUCCAGUGUAAACUAAUUUACUUCACUGUAGGAUAGUCCUGUCAGACACAGGUACUAUCCAAUGGCGGAGUAAAUUCAUGUGAUUAAACACAUGUAUAGACUCUGUGCUCAGGUUAGUUUACUCCAGCUCAAAUUGUACCAAAGUAUAUUUAGUUGUAUUCAUUGCGUGUGCAUUCACAUCCCCUGAGUAGUAAAGACAUCACUGGCUUCAUCCAGCCCAUUAUUUCAUCCAGAGACUUUAAUACCAGUUCAGGGGGACCUUGUUUUUUUGUAACUGGGACUAGAAAAUAGUUUCAUAGUUAGUAGGGUCGGAAGGGACCUAAGCAGAUCACCAAGUCCAACCCUCAGAAAUAAACUUUCAUUCUUAGGCAGCGGGCAAGAAAGAGGGGCUGAGUGAGUAAUUAUAGUAUUAAUAUUAUGGUGGUUACCAGACAGCCCAAGUGGAGGGCCCCACUGUGUACACCCAGAGUAUGAAUUCCUGUCCCAAAGAGUUUCCAGUCAGACAAAAGGAAGGAAAGGGAAACAAAAAUACAAAGGGAAUUGACUUGCUGAAUGUCACGCAUUAGAGCUGGAGAUGGGAUAUAACUCUGUACGUCUGCUGGUAUGAUAUAUUAUUGUCACUUAUUUUGGAGAUGGGACGGAGUUUCUCCCCAAAAUACUGUAGUGUCUGCCCAGCAGUUAGAUUGGCAAAAAUAAAAUUGUCAUGGUACUUAUAACAUCCUAAGAUCUCAUUUCUCUUUCUCCUUAUUCUUCCUUUAGAGUCUCUGGUGUCAGACUGGAACAUGUACAAAGGAAAACAAAUGUCUGGAGAGUCCAAGUGGGUUUCUUGGGAGAGAGAAGUAAAUUUUGAUGCCAAAGACUCCAGUGACCUGAUCCAAUCUCCUUUACCUGGAAGCCUGUGAGGGAAAGUGCUUUACGGUCCACUGCAAAUUAAGGCACCACUGAGGCACAUCCGGGAAGAGUUCAGUGAGUAGGAGAUGAAAAAAUGUGAUUCUGGAUCCAGGCACACGAAACCCCUGGCUUGUCAUGUCUCAUGAUCAGAAAACUGUGAAGUGGCAGAUUUCAGACUUCCAUUUUAAAGAAGAGAUGGCAAAUUCCUAUACUGUGGGCAGUGAAGGAUUCACUUCAGGCAGACAUUACUGGGAAGUGGAGGUGGAAGUGGGGCAGGGUGUAUGUAUUUAUUUAGGAGUUGUUAGAGAGUCUGUGAAGAGAAGAAGAGAGUUCAUGUGCAGCCCUGAGGAGGGAGCCUGGGGUGUGAAUCCAUUGUCUUCCUCUUGCCAAACUCUCACUUUUUCUGUAACUAACAUGCUCUUGCCUUGGAGGUCCAAAAAAAUUGGGGGUUUUCUGGAUUGUGAAGAGAGACAGGUGGCAUUCGGUAAUGCUCAUACAAAGGCUGAAAUUUUUCCUUUUCCAUGAGCCUUCUUUGGUGGGGAGAAAAUCCUUCCUGCCUUCUUUCUUUUUGAACUAAACACAAAAGUCAGACUGUGUCCAUAAGACAUACAGACCUGGGGGAGGGAAUGGAAAGAGAUGGAGGAAACCUCUGUAUAUCUCUUGUCACCUAUGAAAUCAACUUCUGCAGUUUUCCAUUCUAGUCUCUGUAACUUGGAGAACUCCCAAGUUUUUGUAGAAACAUAAAAAUCUGAAAGCAUCCUGGGCAAUGUGUGUCAUAGUUCCCUCUCUGUACUUGAUCCAUGCAGGAUACGAGUCUUCUAUAGCUUUUACCUAUAGAGUAUAGCAGUUUAGUUAAGAUUGAACAGACUAGUGCAUUUAAGUCUGAAGGGUCUGGGUUCUAGCCUCAGUAUACUAGCUAAGAGGAUCGUCCUUUUAUCACCAUAAUAGGAGAGCUCUCCUUGGCUGUAUGUCCUAUUCUGUGGGACUCUGACUGGUUCAGUAAGUGAGGGGAAGAAGACUGACUCAUUUAGAGGCAUUAUCCAAAACCUUGUAUUGUUGAUUCCUUGCAUUUAUAGAAUGCUUUCAGCAUAAGAUAAGGUGUGUGAUUAUGAACUAUAUUCCCGGAAUGCCUUUUACUUAGACUACGUUGGUAUUAAAAUUAUAAUACACAUUUGUGCUAGAUGCAGAAACAUGUGGGAAAGGCAAGACAAGAUGGAUCCUACUGAUGUUCAGCAAGCAUGUACUUUAUACCAGGGCAUAGUUCAGAGAAGAUGUAUUUGGACUUUGCUGAGUUUGAAAUGAGAUAAAACAUAGUUUUUCAAGAUUUUGAGGGAUGCACCUGGCAUAUUUGAUUGGUUUAGCUGUUAUAAACAAGUUUGGAUAAAUGAAGGUGUAUUAGCAGUUUUAAUUAAACUUGUUCCACUCCAAUAGCAGUAUCUACUGCUGCAAUGUACUUUUUAAAAUUGCUAAUGUUUAAUUUUACAUUUUGCUGAUUGAUCUUUUUUUAUAGUUCUAAUUCAUAAUAUGGUUGAUCUUCCUCACUUUGGCCUCUGAAGCCCUUCGAGUUUCUCUUUUAUUCAAGAUAAAAGAAGACAACAGAAAUAGAAAGGUUCCAGGAAUCCCAAAGGCUCAGACACACCAUGUUAGUCUGAUGUCAAUCAGAAGGCAAGGUAGAUAUGUACUUUUAUAGACUAAAGACAACAUAUACAGAUAGAGACACAAGCUUAUGUGAAUGCCAAAGUCACUUCAUCAGAUACAGUGAAUGAUCAAACCAUUAAUAAUUCAUAAUGAAGUGACCUUGGGUUCAUAAAAGCUUGUUCUCUGUUACUUAGACUGUAAAGGUGCUCUUCCUUACUGCUGCAUUUUGUAUUCAGUAUCUUAAAAGAGCAAACUGCAUAUAUGGAGAUUGUAUUCUUGU